Molecule: unclassified non-coding RNA, 402 nt
Filed under: soil metagenome
Description: partial contains 5.8S ribosomal RNA, internal transcribed spacer 2, and large subunit ribosomal RNA
Rfam family: 5.8S ribosomal RNA (bases 1-121)
Source: RNAcentral
GAUGAAGAACGUAGUGAAAUGCGAUAAGUAAUGUGAAUUGCAGAAUUCAGUGAAUCAUCGAAUCUUUGAACGCACCUUGCGCCCUUUGGCCAUUCCGAAGGGCAUGCCUGUUUGAGUAUCAUGAACACCUCAACUCUCAUGGCUCGCCAUGAUGAGCUUGGACUUUGGGGGUCUUGCUGGCCUGUGGUCGGCUCCUCUCAAAUGGAUCAGCUUGCCAGUGUUUGGUGGCAUCACAGGUGUGAUAACUAUCUGCGCUUGUGGUUUUCCAUCAGAUAACCUUCAGUGAUGGAGGUUCGCUGGAGCUCAUAAACGUCUCCCCUAAGCGGGGACAGCCCUUUGGAUGUUUGAUCUCAAAUCAGGUAGGACUACCCGCUGAACUUAAGCAUAUCAAUAAGCGGAGGA